GACGAACGCUGGCGGCGUGCUUAACACAUGCAAGUCGAGCGGUAAGGCCCUUUCGGGGGUAUACGAGCGGCGAACGGGUGAGUAACACGUGAGCAACCUGCCCUUCUCUUUGGAAUAAGCGUUGGAAACGACGUCUAAUGCCGAAUAUGACCCCCUGUCGCAUGGUGGGGGGUGGAAAGCUCUGGCGGAGAAGGAUGGGCUCGCGGCCUAUCAGCUUGUUGGUGUGGGUAAUGGCCCACCAAGGCGACGACGGGUAGCCGGCCUGAGAGGGUGACCGGCCACACUGGGACUGAGACACGGCCCAGACUCCUACGGGAGGCAGCAGUGGGGAAUAUUGGACAAUGGGCGAAAGCCUGAUCCAGCAACGCCGCGUGAGGGAUGACGGCCUUCGGGUUGUAAACCUCUUUCAGCAGGGACGAAGCGAGAGUGACGGUACCUGCAGAAGAAGGACCGGCCAACUACGUGCCAGCCGCCGCGGUAA
This 481-nucleotide ribosomal RNA is filed under the name uncultured bacterium. Its description in RNAcentral is "partial 16S ribosomal RNA". It matches the Rfam family "Bacterial small subunit ribosomal RNA", at positions 28 to 523 of the family's 1533-position model. The record is from RNAcentral.